This 480-nucleotide ribosomal RNA is filed under the name Guimaraesiella citreisoma. Its description in RNAcentral is "partial large subunit ribosomal RNA". It matches the Rfam family "Bacterial large subunit ribosomal RNA", at positions 1830 to 2597 of the family's 2925-position model. The record is from RNAcentral. Lineage: Eukaryota; Metazoa; Arthropoda; Insecta; Psocodea; Philopteridae.
CUCUUCUUGAUUAAAUAGGAAGUAGGAUCUGCUCCAUGCGUUAGGUAAAUUGCCGCAGUAUCCUGACUGUGCUAAGGUAGCAAAAUAAUUUGGCUCUUUAUUGGGGUCUGGAAUGAAUGAUUUGACAAAGUCUAAACUGUCUCAUUUAUUAUAUUAGAAAUUGGAUUGUUUGUAAAAAUACAAACAUUUUGGAGAGGGACGAAAAGACCCUAUAGAUCUUUUACUUUUUUAUUAAGUAUUCCUUUAAGUUCUUAAUAGAUUAAGUUUACUUGGGAUAAGGCUGAAAAUGAAUUUUGGUUUAAGAAAAAGAUAGAUUAGUUGAAAAAAUGAUAAAGAAUAAGAUAAGUUACCUUAGGGAUAACAGGAUAAUUUCUUUACUAAGAACUUAUUAGUAAAGGAGUUUAUCACCUCGAUGUUGAAUUAAGUUUACUUUUAUUCGAAGAAGAAUUAGGAGUUAGUCUGUUCGACUAUUAAAAACUU